Molecule: ribosomal RNA, 253 nt
Filed under: uncultured bacterium
Lineage: Bacteria
Description: partial 16S ribosomal RNA
Rfam family: Bacterial small subunit ribosomal RNA
Source: RNAcentral
UACGUAGGGGGCAAGCGUUGUCCGGAUUUAUUGGGCGUAAAGCGCACGCAGGCGGUCUCUUAAGUUUUGAGUGACAGGUAGUGGCUCAACCACAACAGGCCUCAGAAGACUGGGAGACUUGAGGACGAGAGAGGGAUGCGGAAUUCCAGGUGGAGCGGUGAAAUGCGUAGAGAUCUGGAAGAACACCCGUGGCGAAGGCGGCUCUCUGGUACGUGACUGACGCUGAGACGCGAAAGCGUGGGGAGCAAACAGG